AAUGGCGCACCUCUCCCAGGCUCACAUGACGCCUUUCUGUGCGCUCCCCAGUCCUCUCAGCGCUCAAUCCCGGCGAGUGCAGGCAUCACUGAAGACCUGACAUCGGCGGAAUCGGACGUCCACUGGUCCUCGGCGCUGCUGACCAGGUGUUAUCUUUGCGCAAAAAACUUUAUCGCCAUCCGAUGAAGCCGAGCGUCGAUGAGAGCGACUUCCCCGUGCAUCGCCGGAGGAACAGACUUUUUUUUGCCGUCUCCAAACCGGAGAGAAUCGCAAAGGGGCGAGACAAUAACGCCCAGAAGUUAUUGAAAUGCAUCGUCAUGAAAGGAGCUGACACAAGGAGAAGAAACAGAAGAGUGCUCGCAGUGUUAGCCUUUGCCGUGGAGGGAAGAAAGAGAAGCAGAAACACCCCCCCAAGCAGAAUGCAACGUGGAAAAGAUCAGUGAAUAAAGAGAGGUCCAGACAUGAAGGAGGCACGCAAGCACAUUUACACACUGAACACACACACACACACACACACACACACACACACACGCAUUCAGUUCAACAGCACCUACAGUCUGUCUGCGGUCUACCACCACCCCACCACACACACACACGGCUGUUACGGUAAGAAUCAGAGACCACCGAGUCAGGAGGAUAAUAACGGCAUAAAUGUGAGAAAACAAGCUCAUUAUCCACUGCUGUUUUCUUCCUCCAGUCAUUAUAGACAAAUUGACAGCUUCUAUCCCUAAAUGUUUAAACUUUGGUUGCUUUUUUAAAAAAAAAAAGUAAUUCACCUCGAUAACAACACAAGAUUUUUUUCUUCUAUUUAAAAUGUUAAGGGAAGAUUUUGUUUUUAAAUUGAAAUUAAUCCUGAAUGGUUUUACUUUUGAAGUACUCGUGUGUCUUCUGUCAUUUGUAACGUGUCCAAGUGUGCACGCUCUCUUUUUUUUUCUGUUACCAUCUUUCACUCCACAAGUUUAACAGCCGUACCACAUAUCCCACAACCCCCUCAUAUCCAGCCUUCCUAACCCGCCCAGUGCCCCUCCCAGGCUUCCCAGCAUCCUGCUUUGCACACCCUCCAAAAAAACCAUGCGUGCUGAAAUUACAGUGUGUGCAGCGGCAUUGUGGGAAGCCCUUCCCUCCCACUCACUCACUGGAUUUGCCAUCCUUAUCUUCUCCUCGCUCUGCUACUGUUUUGGAUAGAUUUAGGCAAGGUUUGUUUUCAUUUUCGUGAAACUGUUAAACGGUGAUAAUUUGCAACUAAACUGACGACAGUUCAGAGGAAGGUUAACAAGGUCUGGGCACAGUUCUAAACAAGAUUUGCCUCUUUGUUUUGAUUAAUUUUUUGCAUUUGUUGGCCUUGAAUAAUUACAGUUAGGAUGAUUUGUCUGAUCUGUUUUGAUGUCUGAAGUGAAAUACUGUGUUUGUGUGAUUUCUAACAUUUUAUAAAUACAACUCAUUACGACUAAUUAGUUAACCUUUAUCUUCUGCUCAGUAUUUUGAGUUAUCACAUUGAAACUUGUAAAAAAAAAAAAAGUGCAACAGUACAUAGAAAGUAGAAAACAAACUAUUUCAGCGCUGGAUUCAUAGAUUUAAAUGUACCCAUGCAGAUAAAGGUAGUCAUUAUGCGCAGUGGUUGCGAGAAAAGAGAAAAUAGCGCCAGCUACAAAGCCUCCGACUCAAUUUAACAGCAAAAAAAGGCAUCUGAUUUGGUGAUAGAAAGUACAGUCUUGCUUUUAAUGAAGCGACUUAAAUGAGAAAGAAGCAGCACAGAGCUCUUGGCUUCUAGCUUCAGGUUAACUGACGGCACCGCCCUCGCAGCGACCGUGUUGCUAACCAGCUGUAAUGAUACACUCCAUCAGUUCGGCUUUGCCUGCGCGGGGCUAUUGGUUAGCAGUCGGCCGAGGUGCAGCCUGUGUGUGUGUGUGUGUGUGUGUGUGUGUGUGUGUGUGUGUGUGUGUGUGUGUGUGUGUGUGUGUGUGUGUGUGUGUGUGUGUGUGUGUGUGUGUGUGUGUGUGUAUGUCUAUGUGUGCGAGUGUGUGCGGCAGCUAUUAAAGCACUUGAGAGUCAGAGAGGAAGGGACUCCGCAAAUGGAUGUGUCUAUUGAUGUUCCCAUUUAGCAGCACACUGUAAACGAUAGGGCAAUGAUUGUGUUUAAGACGGAAGGAGGUGGAGGAGUGGAGAGCAGUUUGGCUGGGCGAUGAUAAUGACAAGGAAGGUUAUUAUUUGGUGCCCCAUGGAGUCUCUCUCUGCGCUUUGUGUCUGUGUGUGUGUGUGACGGAGAGAGAGAGAGUGGAGAGAGCCACUCUACCUCCACACCUCUCGCUCCUCUUGCCCAUUGGCUAUUAUACACUUCUCGCUUUUUCUCUCCCGUCCACUCUUCAUGGCAUUACUUGCUGCUGCUAGUCUCCAUCCAAUUGUGGCUUUUUUCUUUUCUCCACAUCCGCCUCUAUUUCUGUUUUCUCAAUGGCCUUCUCCAUUUUUUUUAAAUGCAUAGUGGAGAUGUCUUUUGUUACGGUAAAUAAAAUGGCAGAAAAAGGCAGAAUAAUGCAGAAGAGGCAGCAAAGUAGUUUCUUGUUAUAAAUUUUUAGGAUAGCAGGUUGCACUUGAAAUAUUAAUGUACUCACCAGUAGUUUUUUUUUUGUACCCAGCUGUGUGUGUGUGUGUGUGUGUGUGUGUGUGUGUGUGUGUGUGUGUGUGUGUGUGUGUGUGUGUGUGUGUGUGUGUGUGUGUGUGUGUGUGUGUGUGUGUGUGUGUGUGUGAGUGUGAGUGUGCUGUCAGUUCCAAUCAUUGUGUGUGUGAUGAAUAUGAAUAUAGUCAGCCUGCCUGCAGGUUUGGCAGGAGACCACCUCCAGCUGGACUCAGACCCCUACUCAACUGUGUCUGUGUGUGUUUUGUGAGCGUGGUUGUAUAAGUCAGCUUGUAUCUGUCAGUGCUGUGACAACCUCAGGAGGAAGUAUUUCAAAAAAUAUAUACAACUUGACACGCAAAUCGCUGAAAUCACAUAGAAGGGUGCAUCAAGUUUAAGCAGCAAUAGGAUUUUAACUUUAUGGUCUUCUUAUUUUAACAUCAAAAAUAACUUCUGCUGCUAGAAACAUGUUAAAUUAGAUUGAAGUGCAUGUUAUAAUUAGGUAUUAAUAGUUUUUAUAAGAGCAUGUCCAUAUUUCAGCCUACCUUCCGCCACUUUGUUUGUCACAAUUACUUUAAUCAACCCAAUUCUUUCCAGUCGAGCCUGUCAGGGCUUGUGUGUGUGCUUCCCUGUUGAUGGCACAUUGUUUGUCAGAAGAUUAAUGCUGUUGAAAUUAUUUGCAAAUCUCUUGUCAGCGUUGUAAAAAUCAAUCUGUCAUUCUCCGUGUGUGCAUGUGUCUCUAAUCGCAGGGCAGCAUAUAAAGAGGGAGACGCCAUUCCAGCUGUGAGGAGACGGAAGAAGUCAACAUGUACACCACACACACACACACACACACACACACACACACACACACACACACACACACACACACACACACACACACACACACACACACACACACACACACACGUGCACUCUCAAAAUGCACACAGAGCCGGAGGCGCACGAGCAGGUGAGCAUUAAGUUAGGCAGCUAAACAGAUCACGUCGCGGUAUGAUAUCUGCAGACAGGCAGACAGAGGAGGCUGGUCUGUACCUGCAGGCAGAGAGCAACAACUCCCAGCACCCUCGCCAGGAAUUUCCUCCCCCUCCUGAGAAAGAGCGAGACGUAGAGGGGGAGGAAGAGUGACGGCGAGAGGCAGGCGUAUACUGGGGUUUCCACUAUUUUAUGUUUGAAGUAGUUUUAGCUAGUUUGAGCCCCAAACACACACUAAAUUGCUUCAGUGUCACAACAUAUUUUAACAGCUGAAUGCACCUCUUAAACAGUUUUUAUCACUAAAAUAGAGUUAAAAAUUUACCCAGAAUUCUUGUAUGAGAAGUUUCUUCCAUAUGAAAUGCAUGACAGCUUAUUUUUUUAAAGAAUUUUAAAUGUACCCGACAUUCACUGAUAUUAAAAGCCACUAAUACCCAUCAUCAGUGUUUUGGCAUCUAUAUGUAGCCCGUUGAAGCAAAUGUAAUAAUUAAAAAGAGAUAGCUUUUGUAAUUAUCUUUAGAUAUGUCUAUUUUUCCACAUUUCAUUUUCAAAACUAAUUUGUGAUUUAAAAAAACAUUGUCCUCCUUGAUGUUUUUUUUCUUUUCAUCUGUUUUUUCCCAAGCAAAAGCUCUCCUUUGCAUGCCUAAAUUUAGCCUUAUUAUGACAUAAUAAAAACAAAAUAAAUAACCUUUAUUUAAGACGUGAGGAGGAGAAAGGCAGAGUGGGGAAAAAAGGCACAAAUCCUGUAUAGACAAAAAAAACCUGUCCCAAAAUGCUCCCUCUUAGGUUUGGCCACAUUUUGCAUGAACGUUCUUCCCUAACCUCAGAUGAUGAAUAGAUGUCCUUUGACACAAAAAUGAAGAGAGGAGCGCAUUCACACACUACUGUGAUCUCUCAUACUGAUGGCACUUUUGUUAUUUUAGAGAAAUUCAAUCACCUCAUGCAUGAUUUGUCAUUCUGAUAUUACUUGUCUGCUUUGACAGGGUCCGCGGUUCUGAAUGUGAAACGCCGACAGUAUCUGUUACACAAACUUGUUCCACCAUUUCCUAUUGUCAGUGCUCCUUAAAGCAAUUUUGUAACUGCACCUCAUUUCACACAUCUGCUCGGCAAAUGUGUCCUUAAUCUGUGGCAUCCUGUAUCACAUUUACAGUAAUUCCCCAUUGGGAGAUGCCCUUUACAGUUUCGGUGUCUCACUGUUAGCCACUGUGCAGCUUCACCGAGCAUACUGUGGGUUAUGUUGGUGCGGAAGAGACCCUCAACAGCAGUCAUUAAAUAAGACAUAAGUUCAUUUCUAGUGCACAAGUUUUUCCAACAAUUCAUCGCCAUGUAAGCCACAAACUGCCUUAUUCGCUCUCUAAUCUGCCAUCGUCCUCAUUAAGCAGAUCAUCCUUGUUCUGUGAUCAGCAUUAUUUCCCAGCUAAGGUUUUUGUGAUCUUUUUCAAAGCUCUUCAUAUUUAGCCUGGGAAGAAAAAAAAAAAAAAAACGCCUCGUGGAAUUUUUACAAGUCUCAAGCCCUCCCCACCACAUCCACUUAUCUAAAAAUGAUUCAGUGGUUAAAUGUCAUAGCUGUCCGUGCCAUUAAGGCCAGCAUGUUUGAAGGAAGGACACCCUUGCCCGCCCUCCCCCUCCUCCCCCCUCUGUCUCUUCUUAUUCCUCUCUCUCCUUCCUGUCUCCCCUCAGCUUCCUCAUCCUCCAACACUCACCCACCCCACCACCCCGCCUCCCUACCUCACACGGCCCAGACUGGUUUGAGGGCUGAUGUGCAGACCUUGUCAUUCAGAUUAGGGUCACAUUGUCAGCUCAGGGCUCUUCUCUCUCUAGUUGCGUGUCCCGGAUCUUUCUUCCUACUGUCACCCUCAUCCUGCGGCCAGAGAAGACCUUAUAAAUCUACAUUCCUUCUCAUCCACUUCUGUCAAUUCCAACACUGUCACUCAAAUCACUGCUGGGGAGAGUGAAGAGAGACCGAGUUAGCGCCGUCCCUUGGAGCAAGGACUGUGCUUUUUGGUCCAGGCUCGGGUGAUGUGUCAUCGGCGAGCAAACUGUUUUCUGAUUUUUAUUAUCGCAAGAGCCGCUGCUACUGUGUCAUGUCAUCGUUUGUAUCUCAGUUAAUGCAUUCUUCUGAAACGCUUGUAAUUCUUGGAACAAAAAGAACACACAUUCAUAUCUGUAUCUAUAAAUAGCUCUUGUUCUCUUAAAGACAGAGAAGCGGCAGAUUCUCCUUCAAAAUCCUGCACAAAUGUUAACACGCAUUGUGUUGCUGCUUAAUAGUAAAGAGAGUCAUGCUGUUAUUUUUGACUAUGUUUUCUACGCUAAAGGAGUAUUUGGCAAGGGAUGAGAUAUCAACCACAUCGUCUUAGUCACACCGUAUCCUGCCAUGGAAAAGUGUCCAAACACCAUAUUUAUCAUCCGACCACAUCUUGACUCACUGCCACAGUUGCUGUCACGUCACAUCUAAUUGCUGCAGCAGCUUUGUGGCAUUUGAUUUUUGUGUUUGUCACACACGCUGCACUUUUUCUUUUUUCUCAAGAAGAGCAAUGAUUCAGCACUGCGUAAUAAGACCUUUCAUACAAGAUGGUGGACUGUUUCUUUACUGGUAUUUGUGCAAGAGGAAGACAGAAAAACAGCCCAGUCUAGCCACCAUGCCACAUCAUAACGAAACAACAGACGCUAUUGAUCAGGGUGAGUCGACAGUUUCAUACCCAUUGUCUUCCUCAUCCUCCACCUUGUAUGAAGCCAUUGAGGCAUGCUGGUGUCUCUCAAGAGGCUGUGCCGCUGCGCUUCAAUACAGCAUACGACAACUGGCUGCUGCAGCCUCCACCCAGGUGCUGUUUACUCAAAACCCACUAUGAGUCAGGAGUUUCAAGUUGACUUCCCCCAUCUAACUGCUGCUUGCAAUGAAAUAAAAUGCGCUCCCUAAAACUGACACUUCCUUUGGUAUAAUAAUCAUCGUGUGUCUUAGAAGGUAAUAGUGCAAACAGCACUUCAUUGCAUUGCAAAGAUUUAAGUAGCAGUGAGCAAAGUCAGAUCUGCUUUUUUUUUAUAUAGUCGCUGUGGUGAAAGAAAUGACAGGAGGAAGGAACUCGCUGAAUGGAAAAAAAACAUUGAUGGGUUUUGAUAAAAAUUUUACUGCUAGCAGUUUAGUAUUUCUCUAAUCCAUUUGACAUGUUUUAGCAUGCUUGAUCCCUGAAAUGGCUCCUAUUUUGUGUCUUUUCUAAGGUACAUAAUGUGAACAGGUACCACAAGAUCCAAGGAAUGUGGGAGAAAGCAGGUUUUUGAUGACCGAACCUCAAGAAAUGUUCGGUUCUUCUUCAAAGCUCAUUAUGUUUUAUUAUUUAAAUGCUGUAAAUUUCAGGAGUCAGCACAAAUAAUGUAAAUGGAUAUUCAAUUUAGGUUUUUGUAGUUGUCUAAUAAAGCCUAAUUAGAAGAGAGGAUAUCAUCAAAGUUUAGUAAAACACUCAUGACCUUUUCGGUGUCCUUCGUGAGAAUGAAAGAGAGAUUUAGUGAGAGAGUGUGAGAGUUAGAAGCCUCUCUGCCCACAGAGAAGACAAGCUCCCUCUGCAUCUCUAAGCAGACUGUCAUCCCUGGUCACCAUCAGGUCUGUGUUUGCCCCAGUGAACAUUCAACGCUGUCGGUGAGUUUGAGCUAAAUUGAAAAAACCAUCGACCGUUGACUGUACCCUGUGGCCAGCCUUUGUCACUCGGUGUUUAAAAAAAAGAAGAAAAAAACAAGUCAAAAACAUGCGGAAACCUGCACACAGGCACGGCCGAUGACUCCUUCAGAAAAAAUCGCACGAGGAGCACUGCGUCCCUUCUGCAUAAAUACGCAAAAUACUUCGAGCUUCGAAACAACAGCAAAGGUCACAAUCAACAUUCAUUGCUGUCGGUGGGUUUAACUGUGUGGAAGAGCUCACUGAACGAUGAAUGCAACUGUGUCCCAGAUUUCAUCCAACCGUCACAAGGAAUAGUGUCACGAUAUGCUGAUGAUGGUAUUAUUUAUUUCACCGCCUGUCUCUCUCUCUCUCUCGCAUUCCCUCAACAACAGCCGCACAUGUACAUUGUGAACUCACAGGCAGUUCAGAUUGAAUCUCAAUCACACUUGGUUGCGGUAGAGGGCUCUGAGUUUGCUAUAGGAGCAAAGGAAGAAUGAGAAAAUGCAAUGAGACACUCCCAGUUUGUGUGUAGUGUUUUAUAAAUGAUUUAGUUGUUGUAAAUAUCACAUUAAAAAAGUACACAUGAAUGUGCUGGAUAUGAACGCUAAAGAUUAACAUAGAAGUGAUCUUUUGGCAAUAAAAAUGACUUGUGCAGUAAAACAUCAUUUUAUCAGCCAGAUUUAUUUCAAAUGGUUCAUGUGUUAUAUUUGAAGAAGUUGUAAUAUGUGAAAUAUAUUUUGUACCUGCUUAUUAUUCUUUGCAACAAACCAUUAAAGAACCACAAGGUUAUGUAACUGCACUGUGUAUUCAUGACUGUUGUAAUACUGUAUAUUCUUUCUUUGCUGUAUUUUAUCAAAUAAAUUAUCACCAUCACAGUC
Molecule: long non-coding RNA, 8110 nt
Organism: Acanthochromis polyacanthus (spiny chromis)
Lineage: Eukaryota; Metazoa; Chordata; Actinopteri; Pomacentridae
Exons: 3
Source: RefSeq, a predicted model, not a curated record